AGAGUUGAUCCUGGCUCAGGAUGAACGCUGGCGGCGUGCCCUAACACAUGCAAGUCGAACGAAGCACUUCGAUCGGAGAUUCGUCAAAGAUUGGAUUUGACUUAGUGGCGGACGGGUGAGUAAUGUAUGAGCAACCUGCCUUUCAGAGGGGGACAACAGUUGGAAACGACUGCUAAUACCGCAUAAUGUAAUUUUAAGGGCAUCCUUGGAAUACCAAAGGAGCAAUCCGCUGAAAGAUGGGCUCAUAUCUGAUUAGUUAGUUGGCAGGGUAACGGCCUACCAAGACUGCGAUCAGUAGCCGGACUGAGAGGUUGAACGGCCACAUUGGGACUGAGAUACGGCCCAGACUCCUACGGGAGGCAGCAGGUGGGGAAUAUUGGGCAAUGGGCGAAAGCCUGAACCCCAGCAACGCCGCGUGAAGGAAGAAGGUCUUCGGAUUGUAACUUCUUUUAUGAGGGACGAAGGACGUGACGGUACCUCAUGAAUAAGCCACGGCUAACUACGUGCCAGCAGCUGC
Molecule: ribosomal RNA, 517 nt
Filed under: uncultured bacterium
Lineage: Bacteria
Description: bacterial SSU rRNA
Rfam family: Bacterial small subunit ribosomal RNA
Source: RNAcentral